CAAUUACAAAGUUCCUUGCAUUGAUUUUUGCUUGCGAAGGAGUAAUAGUUAAACAAUUCCUUGCCAGAUAAAAGGUAGCAAUGCUCCAACUACCCAGUGACCAGGCAUCGCCCCAAUAUGUCUCAAAGGAGUGGAAUGAAUGGAAAGGGAGGGCAAGAGGCUGCGGUGGUACCCCAUUCUGACACUGGCCCCCACCUCCCACGGGAGGGGAGUGUGGGACUGGAACGGGGCCCUAUUCCAUUAGGAAUGUGGGUGAUAGGAUGCUUUACUCAUAUUUUAUUUUAUUUUUAUUGGGAGAGGGUCUUGUUAUAUAGCUCAGACUGGCUUUGAACUCAUUAUGUAGCCCAAGCUGGCCUCAAACUCAUGGCAAUCCUCCUGCCUCAGCCUCCUGGUUGCUGAGGUUACAGGUGUGUGUCACCAUGCCUGGCAGAUGUUUUACUCCUAUUUUAGUCAGCCCAAGAAAUUCACAAUAUUUAUGAUUAAGCUCAGAAAGUCCGUAUCCAAAAGGUCAUGGAACAUAAAAAAUUGUAUACAAAUCGAAUAGCUGUUGGAGUUUCUAGAAUAUUUUCAGAAAAACCAAACUGAGGGACCAUUUGGAUUAAGUGGUAUCCUGGCAUCUCCAGAAGGAAUACGGGGUUCUCCACAUGCCCUGGGCCUUCCUGCCUUUCCCCUUCAGGGCCUGGUGUGGGUCACCCACAGGAGAGGCUGCAUGAAGGGCCCCAGGAUGGGUGGUGGCCGGGCGACUCCCUGGAAAUGGAUGGGCCGCUGUUCCAGGCCUAGCACCCUCUGGGGAGCAAAGUUCUGUCAGAGCUAGGAACAUCGCCACCUCCCAGCAGCAGCUGCAAGUCAGGAACCCCGGUGAGUCACCCCCGCACCUCUGCGCUGUGUUCUUGACCAGGGGCCAGCAUUGCCACUCACAAGGGUGACCCAAAACGGUGGUGAAUGUUUAAAUGAAAGAAAACUUCCAAUAGUAAAAGACACGGUGCCAAGAACAAUGGGAGGGGCCAGGGAUGUAGCUCAGUGGCACCACGCCUGCCUGGCAAGCGCAAGGUCCUGGGUUCAAUCCCUGGUACCAAUAACAAUAAUAAUAAUUCCAAAUCAAUGAGAGAAGUGUGGUUCAAGUGAAGGGCAGCAGUCUGAGUAUCUAGAGGGUCUAAUGCAAUGGGUCUUAGUGCAACAAAUUUUUAAAAUCUAAACAUUCCAAAAAUUUUUGAUCACCAAGUGCUGAUCAACUGGUUAUGGCAAUUUCUGUCAAAGGAAAACCUGACACUGCGUACUCAUGCACUUUAGUCACCGAUCUGGCACAAUGUGACUCCCAGCUCUUCCCCAAAGUCAAAAUGACCAGGAAGGGAAACAUUCUGAAUGCAUUCAGGACAUCGAGGCAGCCAGGACAGCGCAGCCAAAGACACUCAGGAGAGAGGGCUCCAGAGCCGCUGCAGGAAGGGGCAAGGAGGAUGGGAUGGGUGUGUUGGAAGCAAAGAGGAGAAUUUUGAGAGGAUUCAUGGCAUUAUGUGUUUUACUGUAACAAAUUUUUUUUAAAUGUAGGCAUUCACUGUGUUUGUUGAUCACACCUUGUAUGGGGCCCUGGAGGUGGGCAUCCUGGAGAGGGAGGGGACAGAGGGAAAAGCAAGGUGCCCCAUGGAACAGAGCGAGCCCACCCAGGUCCCUGCUCACUGUAAAACCUGGUUGUCCCGGAAAGAGACAGGCCACUGUCUCUGGCUGGCACCAGGGAAGGGCACCCCACGUGCAGCCUAAAUGCCAGCUGACCUGGCAAAGCUGAGCCAGUCCCUGAAGCACUGGACACUGAGUUUGAUACAGAAUAUUUUAUUAGCAGUCUUCACUGCUGAAGUGUAUCUCAGCCUCUACUCACACAUUCUGCAUCUCCCACGGGCCCUCUGGGCUUUGCUUUACUUUCUGUCCCUUUCCCACUGAGCUGGCUAUGACGAGAGGCCCAGUGGGUUUUGCUCACCCCGGUUCCGUCGGCAGCACAGGCACGAAAUGAGAAGAGACUCUCUCUCCUUGGGGAUGAGGGCAGCAAGGCAGAGGGACCCACCAAGCAACACCCUGGCGCAGGCCUGCACACAUGAACAGACACCUGUGUGCCGCGUGUGCAAAUGCACACACACACAUGCACAGCAGAAGCUGGCCAGUGGCUGUGCUGGGAAGUUGAGCCCAGGCAGGGGUAGGAUGCCCUCUCCGUGGCAGGGCGAGGUCAGCCCCAAGUGGUGACCUCUCCCUUGAGCUGGGUGUGGUGCGGACACCUCCCCGCUCCGCCUGCGCCUGCUGGUAACCCCCCCCCCCCUCCAGCUCCAGGCCUGGGCACACUGUUGCAUGGCUCCUCGCCUCAGCAUCCUGCACCUGCCAGGAGAGGACAGCCAAGCGGCCAUGUGCUGGGGCCAAGCCCAGAGCCCCCACCUGCCCGGGUCGACAGCCAGGCAACCCAGCACCCGGUCCUCCGGGAGGAGCCUGCUUCCGCUCCGCACCUGGGCUGGGAGAACACCCUUUCACUGGGCUUCUAGAUGAGCUUUGACCUGGAAGCUCUGUGUUCCAUUUCCUGAUCCUGAAGCUGGGCCCCCAAGGUGAAGGAUUCGGAUUUGGGGCCACAGAGCCCUGGUGGUACAAGGCUCAAGAUGGCUCCCCCACCCCGGCGACCUCUGGGAGCUUAAUUCUCUCUGUGGAAUUGGGCAGAGGGAGGAGAGACGAGGCAGCACAUGCUGGGUGUGGGAGCAAGAGGAGGCUCCCUGGGCAGGAGCCCGUGCACCCCCUUUCUCCUCCAGCAAGUUUCCUUGGAGCACACCCCCUGGACUGCAGUGCCCUCCACUGACACUGGGGGGCGCACGUCCACCCGGCUUUCACGCUUCCUUUCAGUGGAGGAGAAAGGUGUAUGUGGCCCCUACAGUCAGAGGCCCCUGAGGCGUCAGAUCUGGGGAGUCUGGGCUGCAAUCCCAGCGGAGGGAACAGAGCUCACCACUGCCGCCUCUUCCCACGAUGAUUCAGGAAAUCAUCCUGGAUGGCCUGCCGUGGACCGGCUUAGGUCCCAGGAGUAAGGGGUCCCUUUCAAACCAGAGCACAAGCAAGGAGCUGGCCCAGAAAGCCAGAUGACAGCCUGUGAGCCCUGGAAGCAGAGGGAGCCAGGGAGCUGCACCCAGGCCUUGUGGACAGGGGAAGAGGACCAGGGUCACCCUGUCACGCCAGCCAGGCCUCCUGAGGACCCCGCUGACAGGGGCCACCUCCCUCCCUGUCCCCUGCUCUCCGAGUCCUUUAUAAAACCGAUCCUGUGUCGCCCUGUCCAGGCCACCGGCCCUCCUGUCCCACGACGGGUCUUUUGGGGAUCCUGGCCAGACCCUCACUUACACAGGGUGGGAAUAACUGCUCCCGGUGGAGAGUGGGCUGCAGGGAGUGCGGAGUCCCUAGGGAAAAGGUUUCCUGAGGGCUGGGGUGCUUGUGGAGCCCGGAUGUGCACAUGGGGGAACCGCACUGUUUCUGACAUGGGUGCGAGGGGACGCUGUCUUUGGGAUAGCCCCGUGGCCCCACCGGGCACAGUACCUGGGAGGUCAGACCCUCCUUGAGGUCACAGACCACAGCCCCACAACACCAAGCCACACAGGAAAGGCUAGGGGGACAGGUUUCUCCCGGUACCGACCUCAAUCAAGGACUUCUCUUUGCCCUUCCUGUGUAUUUCUCUAGCAACUGCUAAGCAGACCUUCCAUGCACAUGGCAAUUACACUCGAAAUUAAAUCAAGACUUUAUUUAUAAAGGCUAAGUUGGACCCUGGUUAAAAACUGAAUCUAAGGCAACCCUCUAUUUGUAUAGAACAAGCAAGCUUAAUAGUACAGCUUAAUAUAGAUUUCAACUGUGUUUGCUAAAAAAAAGAUCUAGAAGUGAAAAAAAAUAAGAAAUCUCUAAGUGUUUUUAAAGCCAAAUCCACAGAGACAGGCAACUCUGGACCCUUUCCAUUCUCUAUAUGAGUAGGAAAUGAAGGCUUCGGGAAUCGCUCAGCCUUUCAGACCUGAACAGGACCUUGAGCAUGAUCUAGCACAAUUAUUUACAGAUGAGAAAACUGUGGCUCAAGGGAAGUUAGCUGACCUGUCACUAAGGGAAGCCUUUCAAGGGCCACCCUGAUGCGAGGGUCCCGGCACCCUGGAAGGAGAAGGUGACUCUGUCUUCCUAAUGGGGACCUUGUGGCCAAACCCACCCUUUCCAGCCGGCCCAGGUCCCUCCAGCUCCAGCUGCCCCAAGGCUCCAGGGUCCCACCCCAAACUUCCCCCAGCUCAGCUUCCCAGCUACAGUGGAGGUAGUCCAUGUGAUAGAUGAGGAAAGAAAAUAUUCUUUAAAAAUCAACUGGGCUGACCUGCAUGAUAUUUUUUUAGGCAAAAUGAAGGUGGUCAGAAAUUUGGGAAGAAAUCAUCUUUUGCUUAAAAUAAGAAGCAGAUGGGAAAGGAAAUGCCACAGAAGAGUUCGCCAGUUUCAUCUGAGAACUGUUUGUGUGACACUCAGGGAUCCUGCAGCACAGCCACUGUCCCCACCCAGAGCCUGCAUCUGACUGUUCACAGGUCCUACCCAGAAAGGAGGCCGCGGUGGGUGGGUUGCAGGCAGGCGGGCAGGCGGGUCCAACUCCCCUGUCUCUCAACACAGUCAGUUAUUUACCCUGAACACGUCCCUCACUAAUGCUAAAGAUACACUUCCUAAAAUGAAUAAAAUUUAUCAACUUUUGGCUCUGAAAGUGACUUCGUCAGAAAAGAGACAAAUCUUAGAAAACCAGGAGAAAGAAGUCAUAAAACGGACCCCUCCUUGCUGGGCCUUCUGCCCCCCACGGCCUGGACUCCCCAGGUGACCCACAGAGAAGCUGUCCUGGCUCCCCAUCCAGACUAUGUCACCUCCACAGCAGGACAAAAUUGGCGGGGAAGGCCUCUUGUCACCAGCUUGUUGCAAUGUUAAAAUUCUGCCCCAGUUUUUGGGUGUUUUAAAUCAGCCUUCAUGUAAAAACAAAACCCUUCUGCAUCUUCCUAGUUAAAGCUAGAAAAGGUAGU
Molecule: long non-coding RNA, 5030 nt
Organism: Heterocephalus glaber (naked mole-rat)
Lineage: Eukaryota; Metazoa; Chordata; Mammalia; Rodentia; Bathyergidae
Source: Ensembl